RNAcentral lists this ribosomal RNA (258 nucleotides) under uncultured bacterium. RNAcentral describes it as "partial 16S ribosomal RNA". It matches the Rfam family "Bacterial small subunit ribosomal RNA", at positions 524 to 777 of the family's 1533-position model. The record is from RNAcentral.
UACGUAGGGUGCAAGCGUUGUCCGGAAUUAUUGGGCGUAAAGAGCUCGUAGGCGGUCUGUCGCGUCGGCUGUGAAAAACUCGGGGGCUCAACCCCCGAGCCUGCAGUCGAUACGGGCAGACUAGAGUCCGGCAGGGGAGACUGGAAUUCCUGGUGUAGCGGUGAAAUGCGCAGAUAUCAGGAGGAACACCGGUGGCGAAGGCGGCAUCCUGGACCGGUAUUGACGCUGAGGCGCGAAAGCCAGGGGGAGCAAACGGGG